CCUACGGGUGGCUGCAGUGGGGAAUAUUGGACAAUGGGCGAAAGCCUGAUCCAGCCAUGCCGCGUGUGUGAAGAAGGCCUUCGGGUUGUAAAGCACUUUCAGUGGGGAAGAAAGCCUUGGGGCUAAUACCCUCGAGGAAGGACAUCACCCACAGAAGAAGCACCGGCUAACUCCGUGCCAGCAGCCGCGGUAAUACGGAGGGAGCGAGCGUUAAUCGGAAUUACUGGGCGUAAAGCGCGCGUAGGCGGUCUGAUAAGCCGGUUGUGAAAGCCCCGGGCUCAACCUGGGAACGGCAUCCGGAACUGUCAGGCUAGAGUGCAGGAGAGGAAGGUAGAAUUCCCGGUGUAGCGGUGAAAUGCGUAGAGAUCGGGAGGAAUACCAGUGGCGAAGGCGGCCUUCUGGACUGACACUGACGCUGAGGUGCGAAAGCGUGGGUAGCAAACAGGAUUAGAUACCCCUGUAGUC
This 465-nucleotide ribosomal RNA is filed under the name Vreelandella stevensii. RNAcentral describes it as "partial 16S ribosomal RNA". It matches the Rfam family "Bacterial small subunit ribosomal RNA", at positions 338 to 795 of the family's 1533-position model. Lineage: Bacteria; Pseudomonadati; Pseudomonadota; Gammaproteobacteria; Oceanospirillales; Halomonadaceae. The record is from RNAcentral.